UAGGGAAUCUUCGGCAAUGGACGAAAGUCUGACCGAGCAACGCCGCGUGAGUGAAGAAGGUUUUCGGAUCGUAAAACUCUGUUGUUAGAGAAGAACAAGGGUGAGAGUAGAAAGUUCACCCCUUGACGGUAUCUAACCAGAAAGCCACGGCUAACUACGUGCCAGCAGCCGCGGUAAUACGUAGGUGGCAAGCGUUGUCCGGAUUUAUUGGGCGUAAAGCGAGCGCAGGCGGUUUCUUAAGUCUGAUGUGAAAGCCCCCGGCUCAACCGGGGAGGGUCAUUGGAAACUGGGAAACUUGAGUGCAGAAGAGGAGAGUGGAAUUCCAUGUGUAGCGGUGAAAUGCGUAGAUAUAUGGAGGAACACCAGUGGCGAAGGCGGCUCUCUGGUCUGUAACUGACGCUGAGGCUCGAAAGCGUGGGGAGCAAACA
This 428-nucleotide ribosomal RNA is filed under the name uncultured bacterium. RNAcentral's name for it is "bacterial SSU rRNA". It matches the Rfam family "Bacterial small subunit ribosomal RNA", at positions 355 to 774 of the family's 1533-position model. The record is from RNAcentral. RNAcentral also lists the same sequence under 1 other name.